AACGAACGCUGGCGGCAGGCUUAACACAUGCAAGUCGAACGGAACCGUCGUGAUUAUUGGCAGACGGCGGAUUAACGCGUGGGAACUUACCCUUUGCUACGGAAUAACUCAGUGAAACUUGAGCUAAGACCGUAGGGGCUCUACGGGGGAAAGAGUUUUCGGCAAAGGCUCGGCGCGUGUUGGCUUAGCUGGUUGGUGGGGUAAUGGCCUACCAAGGAGUGGAUCCAUAGCUGGUCUGAGAGGAUGCUACGCCACACUGGGAAUGAGACCCGGCCCACACCCCUACGCAGCGCAGCAGUGGGGAAUAUUGGAGGAUGAGCGCAAGCCUGAUACCGCCACGCCGCGUAAGUGAUGAAGGUCUUAGGAUUCUAAAGCUCCUUGACCGGUGACGAUAAUGACGGUAGCGGGAGAAGAAGCCCCGGCUAACUUCGUG
RNAcentral lists this ribosomal RNA (433 nucleotides) under uncultured bacterium. RNAcentral's name for it is "partial 16S ribosomal RNA". It matches the Rfam family "Bacterial small subunit ribosomal RNA", at positions 29 to 507 of the family's 1533-position model. The record is from RNAcentral.